UACGUAGGGUGCAAGCGUUAAUCGGAAUUACUGGGCGUAAAGCGUGCGCAGGCGGUUUUGUAAGUCAGAUGUGAAAUCCCCGGGCUUAACCUGGGAACUGCGUUUGAAACUACAAGGCUAGAGUGUGGCAGAGGGGGGUGGAAUUCCACGUGUAGCAGUGAAAUGCGUAGAGAUGUGGAGGAACACCGAUGGCGAAGGCAGCCCCCUGGGUUAACACCGACGCUCAGGCACGAAAGCGUGGGGAGCAAACAGG
This 253-nucleotide ribosomal RNA is filed under the name uncultured bacterium. Its description in RNAcentral is "partial 16S ribosomal RNA". It matches the Rfam family "Bacterial small subunit ribosomal RNA", at positions 524 to 776 of the family's 1533-position model. The record is from RNAcentral.